This is a long non-coding RNA of Lacerta agilis (Sand lizard), 425 nucleotides long. RefSeq lists it as uncharacterized. NCBI's taxonomy places the organism in Eukaryota, Metazoa, Chordata, Lepidosauria, Squamata, Lacertidae. The transcript is spliced from 3 exons. The record is from RefSeq and is a predicted model, not a curated record.
CAGUUGGUAUUGACUGGUACAGCAGCGGUGAAGAUUCAGAAUGAAUGGUUGUUUUUCUUUCUUUUGUAGGCUCAUGGAAACCAGUUGUAUAUGAUGUUGCUAGAGGAAAGCAUAAGGAAAGUAAGAAAACACGAGAAUGAACAUAGAAACUGCAGUUCAGCUUUAAAGAAUAAGGAACUUUUGACAUCCUACCUGCUCCUAAGAUCUGAGGCAGACAGCAAAGGUAAACAAGGCCUUCCGAAACAGGGCCAAUUUUAUAUUUCCAAGAAAAUUAAGAAAAAUGUAUUACAUUUUUACAAAAUUAAAAGCAUGUCAAUGAAGCACAAAAUCCUCGCCUUCCUUUUCUCCUUUCUCUAGUUAUGUUCCUAGCUGGGGAACUACAGGUAGAAGGAAAUCAUAGACAAAAUGUUUCCCAUAAUUCACAU